RNAcentral lists this small RNA (78 nucleotides) under Flavobacterium sp. A45. Its description in RNAcentral is "Flavo-1 RNA". It matches the Rfam family "Flavo-1 RNA". Lineage: Bacteria; Pseudomonadati; Bacteroidota; Flavobacteriia; Flavobacteriales; Flavobacteriaceae. The record is from Rfam by way of RNAcentral.
CCCUAGCCCUGAUAGAAGCAGAAAUCCUUGUGCGCCGGGGUUCGGCACACAAGAUUGAAGCGGAGAGCAGGAAAUAGC